This is a non-coding RNA of Cajanus cajan (pigeon pea), 757 nucleotides long. The record is from RefSeq and is a predicted model, not a curated record. Lineage: Eukaryota; Viridiplantae; Streptophyta; Magnoliopsida; Fabales; Fabaceae.
AUACGUAUUUUACUAUUUAUAUAUACGUAUUUUAUUAAUUACGUAUACGUAUGUAUGAAUAGUAUUUUACUAUGCAAUUGCACAGUGAAGGGCCGGCUGAAACGUGGGCUGCGGAUUCUUUCCGUUUCAAAAUUUUAAUUAAUUUGAAUAUAAUAAUGAAUAGUGCAUAGUGCAUAGUAAUUUAUAAUAUUAUUUUAAUGAAUAGUGCAUAGUGCAUAGUAACUUCAAAAUUUCUAUAAAUAGGGGCUUAAGGUUUUGGAAAUUCAGAAUUCUAGAGAGAAAGAAAUUCUGGAGAAAUAGAGAGAGAAAGUAAGAGAGAGAGAAGGAAAAAGAAAAUAAGGUUCUGCCUAGGUUUUGAAAGAGGAGGAGAAUAGAGAAGGUUCUGCCCUUGUUUCGAUAAUCAUCUAAGAAGAAAAAGAGGAGAUUCUGCCGAAUUCUUUUUUAUCCAGGUAAUCUUAAUCAUGAGGAUGUUGGUAAUGAAGUCUAGAGGCUUAAGUGGGCAUGCUCUGAUAGGAUGUGACAUCGGGCUUAGCUAGGCUUCUUUCUGGGAUAAUAAUGUUUUAUUUUCUUUUUUUUGAAAUUUAAAUAUAUUUGUAUGAUAUCAAAAAAAAUUAUAAAUUGAUUCCUAACUAGGAGGCACUGCCACCUUUACUGGGAUUAAUUUAUAAUCUUUGUUUUAUUAUGACUUCUUGAGUUUGGUAUAAAUGUUAAUUACGAAUGUGCAUCUUCUACCUUAUGAUAUUUAUUAUCACUCUAA